Molecule: ribosomal RNA, 254 nt
Filed under: uncultured bacterium
Lineage: Bacteria
Description: partial 16S ribosomal RNA
Rfam family: Bacterial small subunit ribosomal RNA
Source: RNAcentral
UACGUAGGGUGCGAGCGUUGUCCGGAAUUAUUGGGCGUAAAGAGCUCGUAGGCGGUCUGUCGCGUCGAUCGUGAAAACUUGGGGCUUAACCCUGAGCUUGCGGUCGAUACGGGCAUGACUGGAGUUCGGCAGGGGAGACUGGAAUUCCUGGUGUAGCGGUGAAAUGCGCAGAUAUCAGGAGGAACACCGGUGGCGAAGGCGGGAUCCUGGGCCAGUACUGACGCUGAGGAGCGAAAGCGUGGGGAGCAAACAGG